Long non-coding RNA from Chelonia mydas (Green sea turtle), 2294 nucleotides. RefSeq lists it as uncharacterized. The record is from RefSeq and is a predicted model, not a curated record. NCBI's taxonomy places the organism in Eukaryota, Metazoa, Chordata, Testudines, Cheloniidae. The transcript is spliced from 3 exons.
UCAUAGACUCAUAGAUAUUAAGGUUAGAAGGGACCAUUAUGAUCAUCUGCUCUUCCCCUCUCCAUCUUCUCCCAACCCACCUGGUUUGGGAGGGACUCGCCUCCGGAGCUGGGACUGGGAGCUGCAGCAGCUUUGGGCACUAUGGCUUACUGCUGAGACAUUAAAAUCAUUACAGGUCACUGAAGGACAAUGGAGCUAUUUACACCAGGCGCCAUGCUUUCUUCCAUGCUGCGCCUCAAGCAAGGAACCUUCCAAUCCCACUGCAAAAGAUCCUUCUCUUCUCAUUCAAGACUCACCUCUUCAGUGAGUCCGACACAUUAACCGAUGCCAAUUAUUGCCUUCUUCCCCCUAUUUAUAGUGGAGUGAAAGACAGAAUGGAAAAUGGAUGACUCCAGGAAGAAGAAAAAAGCCACAGAAAACACUGACACUACGCCCCAUAUUCUUUAUAGAGAUAUUGUUAUGAUAUGAUUAUGGCAUAACUAUGAUAUAUUUUAUGCAAGAUAGGUCAUUUAAGAUAUCAUUGAAAAGGUUAUGAUUCAUUGAAUAUGAUUGUCCUAUUUGUAUGCAUGUAUCAUUUUGGUAUCUGAAUUUAGGAAUAUUGUCUAUGCAUCUAUUACAAAUGUGUGUGUAAUCAGUCUAGACGGCUGGCUGGCAAGGUCCAUUAGGGAGAACAAUAAGUCUUAGAAGAUGCUAAUCUCCUACCCGGGAGCCUUCGUGAGGACGCUACAAAUAGCCUCCAAAUCAUGGCUGCUGUUUCCCUACAGGGGCAUGUGACCAAGUCACAUGGUACUGGACUCCAUCAUAGAAUACCAGUGUUCUUUUCCACUGAAAGGCGUGGGAACCAAGCUGGGAGAGAAAGGGUUCCCACCAUAUGCAACAGCUAUUUAAGGCAGUGGAGUGACAUCAUCAUGGUUCUUCACUGACUCCCCACCCAAAGGAGAAACACCUGAGAAGCAAGGAUUGAACUGGGGGAAAAGGGCUGAACCCAGACUAGAGGGAUUUCUAUCUUGUGAAAGGAAUAUCUGGGGUUUUAAGCUGCAAGCAAGUACAGCUUGCCCUCAAGAAUCUCUGCAAACUGCCUGAACCAACAAUUAGAGUGAGAAUAUGCUACUCAUAUCCAAUUUCUUUAGUAUAUUAAGCUUAGAUUGCAUUUUUGUGUUAUUUGCUAGGUAAUCUGCUUCAAUUUGUUUACUAUCCUGUAUAAUCAUUUAAAAUCUAUCCUUUAUAAUUAAUUAUCUUUGUUUUUGUUUUGUCUAAAACCAGUGUGUGGAAAUCAUAACGGCGGGGGGAGGCGCAGAAAGCUGUUGCAUAUUUUCCUCCACAUUGAGGGAGGGGGUGAAUUUCAUGAGCUUACGUUGUACAGUCCCCUGUGCAGUGCAAGAUGGCAAGAUGGUAUAAUUUGGGUUUAUACCCCAAAGGGGGGUGCAUGCAUUAGGAACUGGGAGGUGCCUUAGCUGAGCCUUUCUAUGCAGAGCUGAUCUCAGCAUCUAUGUGUAGCUGCAGCUGGGUGUGUCCCUACCUGUAUGUGUGCUGGAGGGGACUUGAGGGCCUGUCACAGCAGUACAGUGUAAAGGGAGCCCAGGCUCGUGAGUCAGGCAAGCUCAGUAGUACCUCAGUUCCAGGUGGCAUCCUGGGAGGAACCUGUCACAAACACAUUCUAAGGUACCACUUAUUCUAGGUCUACUAGUGUGUUGUGUCUUGUCUUGUCUUGUCUGUGUUUGCCUUUUAAGCUGUAAAUUCCUUGAAUUGUAUCUCUGCUUUACACAGUGCAGAGACGUGACCAGAGCUUAGCAUAUAAUAAUGCUACCAAGCUGUGUCUUUGAGGUCCUAAUUAUAAUUGCUCUACUUUUAAAUUUAGUUUUUAGCAAUAACCAACACUAUUUGUGUUUGUUUAGCACCUGGCACAUUGGGGCCCUCAUCUUAGCUGAAGCCUACACUCAUGGAAUGCAAAUAAUGAUAAUAAUCAUAUUGUUAUUUUUCUUGCCAUUUCUCAGUCUUCUACAUUGCAUGAAAAAGAAAUGGGACAGUAACACAGUGUAUCAAUGGUUCUCAUUUAUGUUUGAUAGAUAUAGUAUCACAUCCAGAAAAUGUCUCUCUUGAACUUGAGUUUACUACAUUUAUUUUUUGUUUCAGUGCCUUUUAGCAGAGGUGACAGUUCAACACCAGCCAGGGUCUCUUCCAUAACAGUGGAAUUGGAUAUCACGUCAUAAGAACAUAAGAGCAGCCAUACUGGGUCAGACCAAAGGUCCAUCUGGCCCAGUAUCCUGUCUUCCAACAGUGGCCAAUGCCAGGUG